Molecule: long non-coding RNA, 3533 nt
Organism: Ceratitis capitata (Mediterranean fruit fly)
Lineage: Eukaryota; Metazoa; Arthropoda; Insecta; Diptera; Tephritidae
Exons: 3
Source: RefSeq, a predicted model, not a curated record
CAUGGUAAAAAAAUUAAAAAAAACGAAAGAAACAAUAAGCGUCUCUGGCAGUAGCUGACUAAAAUGUCAAUCAAAAUUACCUGCGCAUCCACACACCGACACAUAUCGACAAAUUAUUAAUCAAAUUUCAUGUUGCGACACAAUGAAUUAAACAAUCUUGCCCGAUAGUUGGAUAACCGAUUUUUGCUACUUCAAUACACUUAAUCCUGUCGGGGAAAGAUAAAAAACAAAUAAAAGAACCACAACAAAUGACAAUUUGCGCACACGAAAUUAAAUUGAAGACGAACACUUAAGGAAAAGGGGAGUACAAAGGGAAAGGACUACUGAGCGGCGGCAAAGAAAAGUAGCUAUGGAAAUCGGGUAUGUGCAGGGAAACGCGUCAACGCAUUCAAACGACGCACCAAGCCGCGUCUGUAACACACCAAAGUCACCGCCAACAAAUGUCAAAAUGCGUUUUUGUGGCUGUCAACUGUCAACGCCGUUGAGGUACAAAAAUGUCUAAUCAAGCAUUAGAGAAUGUUUUCACAAAAAAACUGGACCUGAACUAGAAACUAAGGCGAUACUUAGGCGAUACGAGGCAUAGAACGGAAUUGAAGACUCAAUGAGGCAAAAAAAAACUGUCAAUAAGAAGCGGCGCGUCAAUGUCAGCGCUUUGCAGGAAUUUUCAACGCGAACGCGAUACAAAAGGUGACGUUUUGGAAUCAAACAGCGAAAGCAAAACUAAAUUAAAAAGAGACACUGUGAGUGAGCGACAAAGCAAGGACGGGGGAGAAAUGGAAGGGUAAAGUGAGUUGAAGUGAAGUGAGGCAAAGGAAAGAUAUGCGAGAAUGAACAACGUGUCUACACCAAGCCGUUUUCGCAGGCUUUGUAUUCAAAUAAGAACAAGAAAGUAAUAACAACAAUAAAAGCAAUCUCAAAGCAAGCGGGUGUACAGCAGUCUGCAUUGCGGUCUGAUCUUUACAAGAUCGCUCUCAAUGAAAAACAAAAAAAUUUGACAAAAAAAAAAUAAUAAAAGGAAAGAAAGCAAACCGCGCAGCAAUUGAGCAAAGGCAGAAGAAUGACAGUCAAGAAAUUGAAAGAUUGAAAAAUAUUAGGAUAUUAAAGCACCAAAAGAGUGGCGUGUUAAGCCAGCCGGUGUGGCAGAGACCGUGAGUCGCUCGCAGUUAUGCGGCUGCAACUGUUGGUUAGGCAACUGCGUUACCCAAAUCAAAAUCUUGAUCCUGCGUUGAUUGUCGAAACCUUUCAUGUGUUUGCUAAGCCAAAGUGAAAAAAAAAACUGAGAACCGAGAUAAUCAUCUGCCGAACUGUCGAAUGCUACUUAAAACCUCAAUCUUUGGUUGGCUUUGGGAAUUUUUCUCUCUUUUGCGCCAUAGCAGCAGUUGUUCCUUUGUUAUUUUGUGGGUUUCAAAUAAAUUGAUUAGACAGAUGUACAUAUGUAUGUACAUACGUAUGUCUGGUACUCGUUCGUGUAAAUUAGAAAUUACGCGUGUAGGUGCCGGCAUAUUACAGGUAUCUAUUGCGUGUUGAGCUCAAGUGGUAAGGACUUAAGUUGAAGGACGAUGACUGGCGCGAUUACAGCACACAAUCUCUCAAAUAUUUUGGAGUUCAUAUUUUUAAGCGGGGAUUUCUCAUUAUUUGUAUGCCUUGAAGGCCACACUAGAAGGCUUUGGUGUGUAAACCUCACUGCUCUUCAAAAAAGCUGCUUUUUGUAUAAGAACUGCGGCCUUAGUUACGUCGGUCGAUUUUCAAUCUCUCGACAUGUCAACAAAAAUAUAAAUACCUCCCAGGGCGGUGUUCUCUCAACCAUUCACAAAAUUUUAGCACAGCAGAGCAGAGUAAAAAAAGGCUAAUUUGAUCACUGCCUUUUCCGAUGACACAGUAGUAGAAGAAGAAGAGGAAGUUUCAACGAACAUGAUCCAAUGCAGUCAGAACUUUGUAAGGCGUCAUUGUGAUCCAAUUGCUGUAAUGGAAGUAAUGGAACGGUGGUAAAUUGGGUUCACCUAAGUCUGUACUGUGUUGUCGCAGAACUGGUCAAAAGACGGCUGAAUCGAUUAUGCAGUGACACAGUCAUGGAGGUGAACUGCAAGGUAGAUCAACUUGUAGGUUCAAGUGCCACCAGGCAGAGGCAUUUGUAAACAUCUCGCCCCUGCACAAGGCUGAUUUAGACAUUUAUUUACAGACAGACUGAGUGAAAAUGGGAAAAAUAGUUGUCGUGUCGCAAAUCGGCACAAUUAUGGCGGAAAUUCAAGUGCCGGGAUGUUAUCUUAUAUUAUGGCAUUUAGAAAGACUCGACUGGAAGACGCUCUAGGGAUUGGAACGAGGAGGAGGACACAAUUUUCCACCCAUCAUGCAGAUGAUGUGUUUUAAGAAAAAUAUAUUACCGAAUAUUGGAGUCUCGGUAGAAAGAAAUUUCCUUUAACACAUUAUUCCUUAAAACCCCGACUGCACUUUUAAUUCGUUUUUCUUUUACUUCCCACAAAAACGAAAUUUAUUGGCAAUGUCUCUUAGCUCGUUGCUGUUUACUAUGUAUAUGCAAAAAUAAUGGCUCGAUUCGCGUGAUCAAUAUUUGGUCCAUGUAAUCGCCCAGCAGAGUCGGUAAUUCGAGCAACGAUGGAUGUUAAGAGACGCCCGUACCGUUCGCACCGAAGCCACUACUGCUGCUGUAGAGCAGAGUAUAGAAGAAGACCCGAAUGACUCCGGCCGCCAACGCGCGAAACAAUCGGAGCUGUAUCGGUACUCUUUACGGAAAAUUUUCCGGAAGCAUCUUGGUUUGCGGGCUUACAAAAUCCAACUCGUGCAAAAAUUGAACCCGAACGAUCUUCGAGCGCUUCGCACGUGCGGUGAAUGGGAUCAAAACGAGAUGGCCACCGAACGCAAAUACUUACACCAAAAUUAUAUACAGAUAUGAAGCUCACUUUUGAUUGAAUGGGUACAUUAAUAAACAAAAUUAUCACAUUUGACGUGAUGAUAAUGCCCAAACCAUUGUUGAGACGCCAUUACAACAUUAAAAAGUCACCGUUUCGUGUGCCCUACGGGCAGAGGGAAUCAUUGAUUCAAAUUUCUUAAGAAAUUUCGCUGGUCAUAAUAUUACAGUCAAUGGUGGGCGGUUCAAAGCGGUGAUUAAAACUUCUUUCUUGCCUGAUUUUGAGGAUGUUAGCAGGGACGUCCUUUGGUUUCAAAAAAAAAUGGUGCUUUAUGCCAUGCAGCCAAUGAGAAAACCACUUCGUUACAGCAAACUUUUGGUGAACGCAUUAUCUCGCAUCUGGAACCGUGGCGUGGCCUCGAAGAUCGUGUAGCUUAAUGGCGCUGAACUAGUUUUUGUGAGGUUAUGUGUAGUAGUCGCUUGUCCACGCAGAUAAGCCCGAGAUGAUUGACGCCUUGAAAGAGAAUAUUUGUCGCGUUAUACGACAUACAGCAUCAGUUGCUGCAAAAAAUGGUUUAAAAUUGGGCUUCUCGGCUUGAAGUUAUUCGAGCUAGCCGUGGGGUCACUUGCUCGAAAGCAUUUUUAAAACAUGAUAACUUAUAUUUUUAUA